Molecule: ribosomal RNA, 460 nt
Filed under: uncultured bacterium
Lineage: Bacteria
Description: partial 16S ribosomal RNA
Rfam family: Bacterial small subunit ribosomal RNA
Source: RNAcentral
CCUACGGGCGGCUGCAGUGAGGAAUAUUGGUCAAUGGGCGCGAGCCUGAACCAGCCAAGUAGCGUGAAGGAUGACUGCCCUACGGGUUGUAAACUUCUUUUAUAAAGGAAUAAAGUGAGGCACGUGUGCCUUUUUGUAUGUACUUUAUGAAUAAGGCUCGGCUAACUCCGUGCCAGCAGCCGCGGUAAUACGGAGGAUCCGAGCGUUAUCCGGAUUUAUUGGGUUUAAAGGGAGCGUAGAUGGGUUGUUCAGUCCGGUGUGAAAGUUUGCGGCUCAACCGUAAAAUUGCAAUUGAUACUGGCAGCCUUGAGUGCAGUUGAGGUAGGCGGAAUGCGUGGUGUAGCGGUGAAAUGCAUAGAUAUCACGAAGAACUCCGAUUGCGAAGGCAGCCUACUGGACUGCAACUGACAUUGAUGCUGGAAAGUGUGGGUAUCGAACAGGAUUAGAUACCCGUGUAGUC